UACGGGGGGGGCAAGCGUUGUUCGGAAUUACUGGGCGUAAAGGGCUCGUAGGCGGCCAACUAAGUCAUACGUGAAAUCCCUCGGCUUAACCGGGGAACUGCGUCUGAUACUGGAUGGCUUGAGUUCGGGAGAGGGAUGCGGAAUUCCAGGUGUAGCGGUGAAAUGCGUAGAUAUCGGAAAGAACACCAACGGCGAAAGCACUCUGCUGGGCCGACACUGACACUGAGAGACGAAAGCUAGGGGAGCAAAUGGG
RNAcentral lists this ribosomal RNA (253 nucleotides) under uncultured bacterium. RNAcentral's name for it is "partial 16S ribosomal RNA". It matches the Rfam family "Bacterial small subunit ribosomal RNA", at positions 524 to 776 of the family's 1533-position model. The record is from RNAcentral.